AUAGUGCAAUAUGAUGCACGCCUUAUUGCGCAAGGUUUCUCUCAAACGUCCUGUGAUUGAUAGCAGUGUGAUGAAAUAUGGUUAGUGUUUUCUCCAUGGGGAUAUAGAUACGGAGAUUUACAUGUAAGUUCCUGAAGAAUUACAUGGAUUGGUUCAAAUAGUUCUAAAUCACAGAACACCCUCUUAACUUUUUUGAGGAGUUCACUUACAAUCUGAUGGAUGUGGUAUAUCCAUCUAAGUAAUUAUUUGACCAGUCAGGGAUAUGAAUUAUGCCCUUGCAUGUUAAAUUAUGAAGUCUUAUUUCAAAUUGCUAGAAAUACAGUUUAUGUCGUUGAUACGAAUCUUACUAAGACUCCAGAAGAGCUUGAGAAAACUGCCUUGCACCUGAAAGAUGGAAUUUGAGAUGAAGGAUCUUAGGAAACUCGUUUAUGCCUUGACUUAAAGUUGAAGCAUUGUUCUAAUGGUAUUUUGGUUUACCAAUUGAACUACACCUUGAAUGUGUUACUUUUGAGUAUACCUUUGAUCAUCCAUAUGUUAUAUGCAAAUGAGACCCUUGAAGAGGUUAUGGAAUCCGAAAUUCCAUAUAUAAAAGUCAACUUUGCGUUUUGUUGUACUUAGCUCAUUGUAUUUAGACAGGACAUCUCCAAUAAGUCACUAGUGAAAAAUAAAUACGUAUUUAAUUUUAUUAAUACUGAAUUGUUAAUAUUAAAUUCAAAUUUUUAAAUAAAAUUUUAUGAAGAUAAAAAAUGAAAAUUAGAAUUUUCAUUUUAAUUAUUUCGUAUUACAGUAAUUUUUUUUAUAACUGUUGAUCUAUUGGUAAAGAUGCAACACCACGCCUAUACACAACCACUUAAUUGGUAUUAAAGACGUACCAUGAAGGUACUACAUGGGCAAAUCCCAAUGCAUCUCAAGCAGAUCCAACCCCCCUGAUCCUCGGAAAGAUACUUGCCUUGUUUGUUAUGUUGACGCUGGUUACUUAUCAAACCCGCACAAGGAAAAAUCCCCCAAAUGGUUAUGUCUUUACCGUUAGGCAUAUCGCAAUAUCUUAGAGGUCCAUGAUAUGAACUUGGUUGCGAAAUCUUCGAAUCAUUCUAAGAUUCACCUCACUUCACUACGCCACAAGUGAGACAUGGUUAAAAGUUCUUGUUGAGCAUAUUCGAAGUACUUGCUGUGUUUUCAUCCAUCGUUGAGUCCCAACAAUGAUCCAUGAAGAUUAUAUUGCAUACAUCCACCCGACUAAGCCAUGAUACAUCAACAAAGUCAAUGCCAAGACAUCUUGUGUCUACAUCAGCAAAGCAUCAGGAGAUUGAAGUCAUGUAAGCUGAUCCCAGACAACCUUGUCGACCUUUACACGACGUCAUUUCCGAAGUCAACCUUCCAGAAGCUUGUCCAAGGAAUUGGUAUGCCUAACUAUCAUAUGCAAUGCUUGUAGUUCUCAUUUGGAAGUUAUGUUAAACUCAGGGGAAGUAUCCAAAAGUAUACUCACUUGAUCUUAAUGAACUCUUUUUCCUUACGAUUAGGAGCAUUUUUCCCACUGGAUUUUUGCUAUCUAACUAGGUUUUAAUGAGGCACCCAUCCUGGGUUGAUCAUACCCUUGUGAGCUCUUCUACUUGUGUCCAAAAGACGUAUAGUUUUGACUUAAUGCAACUUCUCACUUUUUUCCUUAGUCUAUGUGUUUUCUCCACACCUUGGGUUUUACCAUAGCGAUGUUUUGUGAGUUUUACUUUUUAUGCAUUCUCCCGUUGAUCUGAGACUCGCAUUCGCUCAUUAUGGCGAUGACUUCAUCAAUUGUAUUUACUUCAUUACUGAAGACCUGAUGCGCCAUUUACUUGAGUAUUUACAUACUCAAGGGGGAGUAUUGCAGUCCUAUUAGAUUAGGAAUGUGAUUGUGUAAAUCCUAGUAGAUAUGGGAAUGUAUCUUAUGUUCCUAUUAGGAGUAGAUUACCUAUUAAAUGUUGUAAUCCUAAAGGGUAAGGAAUUAACCUUCCUUACUACUAUAAAUAAAGACAAAAUGGGGUAGAAUAACACACACCCACAAUUACACAUCUCUCUCUUCUCUCUACUAUUGCCGCACCUCCCUCUCUCUCUCUAUGACCUCCAUAAUCGUUCAGUAAAUUAUGUCUACAACAUCUUGAUUUUAUUUCCAUGUAGUAAGACUUUUAUCUAAUGUAUAGCCAGAUGUGAUGAAUCUUUAGAAAACAAUCUAAUGUCAAUACCAAUGCAUUGUACCCAUAAUUUUUUUCACGCUAAUUUUAUGUAUUUAUUUUAUGUUUCAAAAUAGGAUAAACUAGAUUACCAUCCCUCAUCUUUCUUUCUCAUCAAUUGAAACCUUAUUCUUUUUUCAUUUGUGAUCAAGGCCCCUUGACUUUUCUCCAUGUUAUUAUUAGAAUUUUAAAUUAUUUACAAGUGAUUAUAUGACAAUUUAAAAAUGAAAAACUUAUUAAUCAUUUCCAAAUAUAUCUUUUUAGUAUUUGUCUUUCAUAUAUUUCUAUUUAUUUUGUACCCUUUUUAAAUUUGUACCAAUAUUCUUUUUAGUUUUAAUUUGUACCCAUAA
RNAcentral lists this long non-coding RNA (2554 nucleotides) under Malus domestica (apple). Its description in RNAcentral is "long non-coding RNA (MDOM_LNC003672)". The record is from RNAcentral. Lineage: Eukaryota; Viridiplantae; Streptophyta; Magnoliopsida; Rosales; Rosaceae.